UUGGCUCUUCCUUGAAUAAAACCGAUUCUUUAACAUCUUUUUACAUUGUACUCUUUCUUUCCUUUGUCUGAUCCCUUGUCCUAAUGACUCAUGUACUUAAAUACCCUCUCUUUCUGGAAUGUCGUGCUUCCAGUGAGUCCUUUUGAUCUCUUGCCAAAAUUUACACCCUCCACCGAAUAUCUUUCUCAUUCCUUUUUGAAGUUUCUCCUCAAUAUUUAUCAUGACCUACCUUACUAUAUUUUUAGUUUAAUAUCAUGUUAAUUGUCUACUUCUUAUAUUAGAUCCCGAGAUCUAAGAUCCUUGACAGCAGUUUUUUGUAUGUUUGCUUGUUUUUCCUUGUUUGGUUCAAUUCUGUAGCCCAAGAACCUCUAACAUUGCAUGCAACAAUCAAUAAUUGACUGGUGUGGAAUGACUGAAUGAAGUUAAUAAUUUAAAUAGAACAAUAAAUUCUUCCUGUUCUACAUCAUCCAAUACAAUUUGUAAAAAAUAAUUUCAUAGCAUGAUUGGGUACCCUGUUUUUUGGAUUACAUUAUGCACAUAUUAUACACUUCACAAGUAUACACUUAGUUUCAAAUGUAUGUUUUCUACUUGGAAUUUUAGAAGGGUGAUUUCAAUGUAAUUAUGCUUAUUGCAUCAUUUAACUCUUGCAUAUGAAAUCCUUUAUAUUUAUACUAUUUUAUGUAUUUUAUCCUUCAUUAUUCCUAUGCUUUCUUGCCUUCUUACCAUGAAAUAUCAAUGUGUUGUGAAAUUUUUCUCAAUUGAUUUUUAUUUUCUUAAGCAAUAUAGGAAUCAUAACUGACUUCUCAUUUUAUUUAUUUUAAAAUAUUUAGAAUAUUUCCCAUAAUAGAGAAAAAUAUAUACUCCAUUUUAUAUUCUAAGGCCAAUUUUCACAUCUCUAUAUAUGAAUUCCCUAUUGCAUAUGACCUACUUAUUUACCUGUGUUUGAGAAACUAAAGAGCAUGUUCAUGGCUAUUCCCUACAGAGAUCUUGUUCAGGUGUCUACUUAGUUUUAUUAUCUUUGAAAUAAUGCCAGUUUGGAUUAGUGGGAAGAGCAAGGACUGGAAUGCAGGAAUUUGUUUUUAUUGAAUUUGGUACCUUGAAAUUUGGCCAAGUCAUUUACUCUCACUGGAUCUCACUUUCCUCAUCUAUGAAAUCAAAGUUUUGGAUUUUAGAAUUCAGUCAUUUAUCCUGAUUUAAUCUUCAUUAAAAUUUGGAUUUGUCUGUUGUGUUUUUGUUUGUUUGUUUACUUUAUUUCACUUUCUUGUCAAAUGAAAUUCCCUGUAAAGCAUAGGUUUUCAAGAUUCUCUAUUUGAUUUUUUGGCACUUGAGAUGUUUAUUACCAUGGGUUGGAGCAACAGGGUUUCCUGCAAGGAACUGGAUAGUGUUUUUUUGAUCAACCUACACUAAAUACCUAUUCUAUUGGGAAUUGAUAAUGAUUUUCUUUCAUAAUUUUCAUCAUUUACACACUUUUAGAAAAUUUAUCAUGACCAGAGAAAUAUGUGUCAAUCCGUUUAUGCUUUCAUCAAUUUGGAUUCAGAUUGUUUUGUAGCUCAAAGUUGCAGUUCAAUAGGGCACUCUUAUUCUUAGUGAUGUUGUAAUUUUCCUUUUAUUGUUUUUCUUUCAGUUGUAGAAAAUAAAUUUCACAGAAAAACUCAUGUUUUUUUCCAAGUAUUUUUUUAUUCUACUUUUAUUUUUGAAAUAAAUGAAGAAUGAAUAAAGGGAUAGAGAGUUUCAUUUCUCUACAAAUAAUAAAUUAAAUAAAAAUAAUAGUGGCACAUGGCCUCAGCCAUCAGAAAUUACAUUAUUUCAAAAUUUUAAUUGUAAAUUAUUUUAACAAUAAGUAUAUGGAAUAAGAAAGCCUUCAUUUGCUAAAAAUUUAAAAAUUAAAACCUUUUAUUUGUUCAUUUGUUAAAAAAUUGGGUUACAGAAAUUUUUAACUAUAAAUGAUUUUCUUUAAUUGAAAAGUUAAACAAAGAGAAUAAUAGAUGUUUUAUAUAGUCUGAAGUCCAGAGGUUUCAGUUAUAUAAACAAUGAAAGAAAUACCUUCUUACCAUGAAAUAUCAAUGUGUUGUGAAAUUUUUCUCAAUUGAUUUUUAUUCAGAAUUUCUUAAGCAAUAUAGGAAUCAUAACUGACUUCUCAUUUUACUUAUUUUAAAAUAUUUAGAAUAUUUCCCAUAAUAGAGAAAAAUAUAUACUCCAUUUUAUAUUUAUUCUAAGGCCAAUUUUCACAUCUCUAUAUAUGAAUUCCCUAUUGCAUAUGACCUACUUAUUUACCUGUGUUUGAGAAACUAAAGAGCAUGUUCAUGGCUAUUCCCUACAGAGAUCUUGUUCAGGUGUCUACUUAGUUUUAUUAUCUAAAAUAUUAAAGUGUAUGAGCUUAUUUAUCAGAAUUAUUUGGUGCCUUUUCUUUUGUAACUUCAAUAUAUAUGAUUUAUUUUCUUAGUUUAAGGGUCAACUUUCCUCUAGGGGUACUACAGAAUUUCUAGAAGUGUUUCUAUUAGUGGUUACUACCAGUUCCUUUUUUAUUACCCGUGGAGAUCUUCUCUAUCAAAGUGAGCCUUGCUAUUUUUAUCAACUCUGAGUAUACCUGAGGUCUAGAGGAAAAAAAAGAGAGAGAGAGAGAAACUCAAAAUAUGGAAUAUAGCAAUUUUUCACCCCAUUCUUUGAAUUUUAGUCAAAAUACUCUCAUGUAUAAUCCAAGCAGUCAUGAUACUUCCCAUGUGGAUAAUUCCUUUAUCACUAAAACAUAUUUUUUCACAUGAAUUGUAUUUAACAAACAACAGUUUUUGCAGAAAAACAUCUGAAUAGUUUCAUUUUCGCUACAUUUAUCUGCAAUGUGUUUGUAUUUGUGAACUGCCUAUUCUCCUACUGCUUAAAUAAUUACCUACUAAGCUUUUCCUUAAAUAAGUAUGUGCUGAACUCGAUGUAUGUAUGGCUCCAAGUUUCUUUGACAACAGGGUUUUUUUCCUCAACAAAGAUAAAUGAAAUGUCUAUUUUUUACACAUAAACUCAAUUCUUAUUACAAUCAGCAGUGAGUGUAAUGAAUAAGCUGACUCUAACUUUUUUAACCAAUGAGUUUAACAGUUAGUGUACAUUUCGUGUUUGUUUAGAGUUAAAAUUUAAAAUGAUGAUAAAAUUAUUUUUGAAGGUAGAAUUUUUAUCCUGCCUAUGGUUAUAGUUGUUAGAACUAAGUAAUUCAUUAUGAAUCCAGUACUUUCCAAGAGUAUUGGAUGUAAUGAUUUUUGAGAAAUUUGAUGGAGAUGCAAGAUGUGUGAAAGAGAAAAAAUGACUAAUUGAUGGCAUGCAGGGACCAAAAAAUUAUGGUCAUUGAUUUAUGAGGAAUAAUGACCAAUAUAUGAUGGCUAUGAGUACUCUAAUUGAAUGUACCUGAGUUAAUAAACAUGUCAAGAGAGAAAGACUAUGAAAAGUGUUUUAGUUUUGGUGUUCAAAGUAAGUUCUAUAGGGAGGUGACAUGUGAGCCAGUAAGGAGAUAAGGACAUAUGACAGUAUAUGACUCAGAUACCAUGAAGACUCAUGUUGCUGAGGAGAGAAUUCCAGAAAGAGAAGUGAGCAAUUUUACAGGUCUUAAGUUGGGAAGCCUUCCAAUUAGACGUGAUAUGAGUAUUUUAUUUUUACCAUGAGUUGGUAAAUAAUUUGAAAAUUUUAUUUUAUUUCUUUCCAUCUAUUAACCACAGAUUCCCAGUCUAUUCCACUCCCUCUCUCUCCCCCUUGGCAACCACAAGUCUGUUCUCCAAGUCCAUGAGUUUCUUUUCUGUGGAAAGUUUCAUUUGUGCUAUAUAUUAGAGUUAGAGUCCAGAUAUGUGAUAUCAUAUGGUAUUUGUCUUUCUCUUUCUGACUUAUUUCAUUUAGUAUGAGAGUCUCUAGUUCCAUCCAUAUUGCUGCAGAUGGCAUUAUUUUGUUCUAUUUUAUGGCUGAGUAGUAUUCCAACAUGUAUAUAUAGCUCAUUUUUGUUUUUGUUUUUGUUUUGUUUUGUUUUUAGGGCCGCACCCACAGCAUAUGGAGGUUCCUAGGUGACGGGUGGAAUUUGAGCUACAGCUGCUGGCCUACACCACAGCCACAGCCAUGCCAGAUCUGAGCCACAUCUGUGACCUAUACCACAGCUCAUGGAAAUGCCAGAUCCUCACCCUACUGAAGGAGGCCAGGGAUCGAACCUGCGUCCUCAUGGAUGCUAGUCAGAUUUGUUUCUGCUGAGCCACGACCAGAACCUCAUACCAUGUCUUCAUAAUCCAUUCCUCUGUUGAUGGACACUUAGGUUGUUUCCAUGUCUUGGCUACUGUGAAUAGUGCUGCAUUGAACACACAGGUGCAUGUUUCUUUUUCAAGGAAAAUUUUGUCUGGAUAUAUGCCCAAAGGUGGGAUUGCUGGGUCAUAUGGUAGUUCUAUAUUUAAUUUUCUGAGGUACUUCCAUACUGUUUUCCAAAGUGGUUGUACCAACUUACAUUCCCAUUAACAGUGUAGAAGGGUUCCCUUUUCUCCACACCCCCUCCAGCAUUUGUUAUUUGUGGACUUAUUAAUGAUGGCCAUUCUGACAGGUGUGAGGUGGUACCUCAUAGUAGUUUUUAUUUGCAUUUCUCUAAUAAUCAGGGAUGUUGAGCAUUUUUUUCAUGUGCUUGUUGGCCAUCUCUUUAUUAUUAUUCUUAAUAGUAUCCAUGUUUUAUUAUGAAUUCUUUGUGCAUUGUCAUAUGUAUUUGAUUUUGUUUCUUUCACUUUAAUGACUUGAAUUACAUUCUUAUAUUUGUGUUUCAUGAUUUACAAAAUCUGUAGAGGAUUUUUAUGCCACUAAAACACCCAGAAAAAUAUUGGAACACAUAUUUCCUUCUACUGAACUUCACUCAUUCUAUGUUAUUUCUUUUUAUUGUCUCACCUACACCAUCCAUUUUAACUUUAUCUGUGUUUAUAAAAAUUAGAUUCUGUUCUAUAGUGGAAGCUAUUUAGUAUUAUCUCUUUUAAAUGUUUUAUUAUUCUUAUAGAAAAUAUUUCAAAACUUAGGAACUUACAACAACACACAUUUAUAUCCUCUCAGCUUCUGUAGGCCAGAAGUCCAAGUAUUGCUUAGCUGAGUGAUCUUGCCUCUAGCUCAUUAUCGCUCAUGAGGUUUCAGUCAAACUGUUGGUGGUAGAGUUUCAUCUCAGAGCUUGACUGAGAGAAUUGUUGGCAGGAUUCAGUUCCUCACGUUGCUUGACCAAGGCCCUCAACUUCUCACAGACUCCCUGAUUUGUGGGCAUCUCCUUAGUGCAGCUCACAUCAUGGCAGCUGGCUUACUUCAGAGCAAGCAAGGGAGAGAGAGAACCCAUGGUGAAAGCUACUGCCUUUUUAUAGUCUAAUCUUGGAGCUGAUUUCUGUGAUAUUCUGUUCCCUAGAAGGAAGUUACUAAAUGUAGCCCACACUCAAGGUAUGGAAGUUACACGAGGGAAUGAAUAGCAUGAGGCAGGGACCAUCAGAGCGCCUCUUCCAGUCUGCCUACAUCAAGUGGAUUCAGUGCUCAGAGUCUGAUCUUUUGGAACCACAUUGUCAACAACUUUGCAUGACUUAUUUUGAUUUAUCUUGUAUUU
RNAcentral lists this long non-coding RNA (5572 nucleotides) under Sus scrofa (pig). RNAcentral's name for it is "lncRNA (ENSSSCG00000054339.1)". Lineage: Eukaryota; Metazoa; Chordata; Mammalia; Artiodactyla; Suidae. The record is from RNAcentral.